AGAUUUUACUAAGAAGUACAAUGCCCUUCGUUCCAACACAGAACAGCCAAAUGCCAAUCAGCCAAAUAAGCAAACAACAAAAACAAAAGCUUACCAGCCAAGUGAGAAGCACUUUCAGAAGUUUGUAAACAAGAUCAAAGUUGAACACUAUGCUGGUCCUUCGUUGCCUGGUGCUGCAUCCAAUCAGCUCCUCCGUAACAGCAAGAAACAAGAAGCAGACAGAGUGAGGGUAAAAGAAAAAGCAGACAGAGCCACAGUAGAACAGGUAUUAUAAUAAUAAUGGUUAUUUGAUAUUAUUCUCCUGAAGAAGAUUGAAGCAACUCAAUCGAAAGGUCAUUAAAUAUAAUAAUUUGUA
This is a long non-coding RNA of Anneissia japonica, 355 nucleotides long. RefSeq lists it as uncharacterized. The record is from RefSeq and is a predicted model, not a curated record. NCBI's taxonomy places the organism in Eukaryota, Metazoa, Echinodermata, Crinoidea, Comatulida, Comatulidae. The transcript is spliced from 4 exons.